This 392-nucleotide ribosomal RNA is filed under the name Blastocystis sp. subtype 2. RNAcentral describes it as "SSU rRNA". It matches the Rfam family "Eukaryotic small subunit ribosomal RNA", at positions 551 to 954 of the family's 1831-position model. The record is from RNAcentral. Lineage: Eukaryota; Bigyra; Opalinata; Blastocystidae.
CAGGGCAAGUCUGGUGCCCGCAGCCGCGGUAAUUCCAGCUCCAAUAGCGUAUAUUAACGUUGUUGCAGUUAAAAAGCUCGUAGUUGAAGUGAGGGAGUGUGUGUUGUGAUCGAAUCGAUCGAGAGCAGUACAACCUCCCCCUUCCAAUGGGUGUAUUGGGGUAUUCAUUUACUUCAUUACUCCUUUGGUCGUUUACUGUGAGAAAAUUAGAGUGUUCAAAGCGGGCGUUUGUUUGAAUAGAUUAGCAUGGAAUAAUGAUUGAAGGCUUUCGUGUUCGAUUUGAUUGGUUUGUUCAUGGAAGCAAGGUUAAAAGGAACAGUUGGGGGUAUUCAUAUUCACUAGUUAGAGGUGAAAUUCUCGGAUUUAUGGAAGAUGAACAAGUGCGAAAGCAA